UAAGGGAUAUUGGUCAAUGGGGGAAACCCUGAACCAGCAACGCCGCGUGAGGGAAGACGGUUUUCGGAUUGUAAACCUCUGUCCUCUGUGAAGAUGAUGACGGUAGCAGAGGAGGAAGCUCCGGCUAACUACGUGCCAGCAGCCGCGGUAAUACGUAGGGAGCGAGCGUUGUCCGGAUUUACUGGGUGUAAAGGGUGCGUAGGCGGCUUGGCAAGUCAGUAGUGAAAUCCAUGGGCUUAACCCAUGAACUGCUAUUGAAACUGUCGAGCUUGAGUGAAGUAGAGGUAGGCGGAAUUCCCGGUGUAGCGGUGAAAUGCGUAGAGAUCGGGAGGAACACCAGUGGCGAAGGCGGCCUACUGGGCUUUAACUGACGCUGAGGCACGAAAGCGUGGGUAGCAAACAGG
This 404-nucleotide ribosomal RNA is filed under the name uncultured bacterium. RNAcentral describes it as "bacterial SSU rRNA". It matches the Rfam family "Bacterial small subunit ribosomal RNA", at positions 355 to 776 of the family's 1533-position model. The record is from RNAcentral.